GUCGAUGCGGGGAGAUUGAGCCGAGCUCCACUAGAGACUCUCCACCAGCAGGCUGCUAUUGACACACUGCACACACACACAAACAGAGCAGCGGCCCGCAGGAGACUCUUCACAGGCAAGAUGCUAUCGACGUUUUCUCGACUCGGCCGACACAACUGCUCACUGUAUGACAAGGCUGAGACCGGCCCGAGUCCCCAGAGAGCUGCGCUGACACGACACGGUGACCCGCGCGUUAGUUUUUCUUUACUUUCAGCGCGCUCAUCCAGGUUUUUCCCACCCUAACGCGCUCCACGGGGAGGCUGGCUCUUCCUCUGACUAGUGAUCAAGCCAGUUUAUUGGCAGGCCUGCUGAUGGACGCCAUGCUGGUGAAGAUGAAGGAGGCCAAAGUGCUGACAGAGGAACUGGCUUCACUUCCAGCUGCAGUCAGCACAAACGCCUGACCAGAGGAGAAAAAGAGACAGAAAGGGAGCGAGAGACUGUAAUACUGAUAUGUGUUGGCUGUAAAGCCCUGCGUGGCAGCGGAGGCCCUCGUCUCCAGCUGUUGGGGAGAUUACUAUUUCUUGAUUUGAUCUAGCGUUUUAGUUGAAUCUAAAUCAUCGUGCACUUGAUGUUUUGACCUGGCUUGCACAUGAAGAAUAUUUAAGACACAUUAGCAUGACACUAUAACUGGCCACAGCACGCUGAAUAAUCAACAUAGAGAAAUAAAA
Cyprinus carpio carpio is the source of this 707-nucleotide long non-coding RNA. The record is from Ensembl. Lineage: Eukaryota; Metazoa; Chordata; Actinopteri; Cypriniformes; Cyprinidae.